This 497-nucleotide ribosomal RNA is filed under the name uncultured bacterium. RNAcentral's name for it is "partial 16S ribosomal RNA". It matches the Rfam family "Bacterial small subunit ribosomal RNA", at positions 28 to 507 of the family's 1533-position model. The record is from RNAcentral.
GAUGAACGCUGGCGGCGUGCCUAAUACAUGCAAGUCGAGCGAACAGACGAGGAGCUUGCUCCUCUGACGUUAGCGGCGGACGGGUGAGUAACACGUGGAUAACCUACCUAUAAGACUGGGAUAACUUCGGGAAACCGGAGCUAAUACCGGAUAUUAUAUUGAACCGCAUGGUUCAAUAGUGAAAGACGGUUUUGCUGUCACAUAUAGAUGGAUCCGCGCCGCAUUAGCUAGUUGGUAAGGUAACGGCUUACCAAGGCGACGAUGCGUAGCCGACCUGAGAGGGUGAUCGGCCACCCUGGAACUGAGACACGGUCCAGACUCCUACGGGAGGCAGCAGUAGGGAAUCUUCCGCAAUGGGCGAAAGCCUGACGGAGCAACGCCGCGUGAGUGAUGAAGGUCUUCGGAUCGUAAAACUCUGUUAUUAGGGAAGAACAAAUGUGUAAGUAACUAUGCACGUCUUGACGGUACCUAAUCAGAAAGCCACGGCUAACUACGUG